ACUUUCAACAACGGAUCUCUUGGUUCUGGCAUCGAUGAAGAACGCAGCGAAAUGCGAUAAGUAAUGUGAAUUGCAGAAUUCAGUGAAUCAUCGAAUCUUUGAACGCACAUUGCGCCCGGCAGUAAUCUGCCGGGCAUGCCUGUCCGAGCGU
This 151-nucleotide ribosomal RNA is filed under the name Scedosporium boydii. RNAcentral's name for it is "5.8S ribosomal RNA". It matches the Rfam family "5.8S ribosomal RNA". Rfam says of the family: 5.8S ribosomal RNA (5.8S rRNA) is a component of the large subunit of the eukaryotic ribosome. It is transcribed by RNA polymerase I as part of the 45S precursor that also contains 18S and 28S rRNA. Functionally, it is thought that 5.8S rRNA may be involved in ribosome translocation. The record is from RNAcentral. Lineage: Eukaryota; Fungi; Ascomycota; Sordariomycetes; Microascales; Microascaceae.